AUAAUAAUACCAUACUCUUUGAGUCUUGUAAUUAGAAUGAUUAUAAUCUAAAUCCCUUAACGAGGAUCCAUUCGAGGGUAAGUAUGGUGCUAGCGGUCGUCGUAAUUCCAGCUCCAA
RNAcentral lists this non-coding RNA (117 nucleotides) under Musa acuminata subsp. malaccensis (wild Malaysian banana). RNAcentral describes it as "Eukaryotic small subunit ribosomal RNA". It matches the Rfam family "Eukaryotic small subunit ribosomal RNA", at positions 477 to 594 of the family's 1831-position model. The record is from Rfam by way of RNAcentral. Lineage: Eukaryota; Viridiplantae; Streptophyta; Magnoliopsida; Zingiberales; Musaceae.